GCUUCCCUCUUUCUUCGUGCCUAAUACAUGCAAGUCGAGCGAACGGACGAGAAGCUUGCUUCUCUGAUGUUAGCGGCGGACGGGUGAGUAACACGUGGAUAACCUACCUAUAAGACUGGGAUAACUUCGGGAAACCGGAGCUAAUACCGGAUAAUAUUUUGAACCGCAUGGUUCAAAAGUGAAAGACGGUCUUGCUGUCACUUAUAGAUGGAUCCGCGCUGCAUUAGCUAGUUGGUAAGGUAACGGCUUACCAAGGCAACGAUGCAUAGCCGACCUGAGAGGGUGAUCGGCCACACUGGACCUGAGACACGGUCCAGACUCCUACGGGAGGCAGCAGUAGGGAAUCUUCCGCAAUGGGCGAAAGCCUGACGGAGCAACGCCGCGUGAGUGAUGAAGGUCUUCGGAUCGUAAAACUCUGUUAUUAGGGAAGAACAUAUGUGUAAGUAACUGUGCACAUCUUGACGGUACCUAAUCAGAAAGCCACGGCUAACUACGUG
This 497-nucleotide ribosomal RNA is filed under the name uncultured bacterium. RNAcentral's name for it is "partial 16S ribosomal RNA". It matches the Rfam family "Bacterial small subunit ribosomal RNA", at positions 36 to 507 of the family's 1533-position model. The record is from RNAcentral.